UACGUAGGUGGCAAGCGUUGUCCGGAAUUACUGGGUGUAAAGGGAGCGCAGGCGGGAAGCCAAGUCAGCUGUGAAAACUACGGGCUUAACUUGUAGACUGCAGUUGAAACUGGUUUUCUUGAGUGAAGUAGAGGUUGGCGGAAUUCCGAGUGUAGCGGUGAAAUGCGUAGAUAUUCGGAGGAACACCGGUGGCGAAGGCGGCCAACUGGGCUUUAACUGACGCUGAGGCUCGAAAGUGUGGGGAGCAGACAGG
RNAcentral lists this ribosomal RNA (253 nucleotides) under uncultured bacterium. Its description in RNAcentral is "partial 16S ribosomal RNA". It matches the Rfam family "Bacterial small subunit ribosomal RNA", at positions 524 to 776 of the family's 1533-position model. The record is from RNAcentral.